This 329-nucleotide ribosomal RNA is filed under the name Neocallimastigales sp. RNAcentral describes it as "partial large subunit ribosomal RNA". The record is from RNAcentral. Lineage: Eukaryota; Fungi; Neocallimastigomycota; Neocallimastigomycetes; Neocallimastigales.
UGUUGUUUUCUCGAAAAUCAAUUAAAAAAGGCAGGAUUUUGUGUUGUAUUGACUUUAUCAGCUUUCUGCACUCUUUUCUUGUCUUUUUUAAUGCACUUUUCGUUUAACAAGUCAACAUCAAUUUCUUUUGUUGUAAAAGGGUCAUUGGAAGGUGGCUUUCUUUUCGGAGGAAGUGUUUAUAGCCUUUGGCCUCUGCAAUCGGAGAGAUUGAGGUCUGCAGCGUAGGUCCUUCGGGGUUAGAUACAUUUGUGCUAAGUUAUAGCCUUUCAUAGACAACUUGUUGACUAUGAUCAGUCAUGUAGCUUACUCGCUUAUGCUAUUUUACCUAC